AUUGAACGCUGGCGGCAGGCCUAACACAUGCAAGUCGAGCGGCAGCGGGAAAGUAGCUUGCUACUUUUGCCGGCGAGCGGCGGACGGGUGAGUAAUGCCUGGGAAAUUGCCUUGAUGUGGGGGAUAACUACUGGAAACGGUAGCUAAUACCGCAUAAUGCCUUCGGGCCAACGAGGGGGCUCUUCGGACCUCUCGCGUCAAGAUAUGCCCCGGUGGGAUUAGCUUGUUGGUGAGGUAAUGGCUCACCAAGGCGACGAUCCCUAGCUGGUCUGAGAGGAUGAUCAGCCACACUGGAACUGAGACACGGUCCAGACUCCUACGGGAGGCAGCAGUGGGGAAUAUUGCACAAUGGGGGAAACCCUGAUGCAGCCAUGCCGCGUGUGUGAAGAAGGCCUUCGGGUUGUAAAGCACUUUCAGCGAGGAGGAAAGGUUGGUAGCUAAUAACUGCCAGCUGUGACGUUACUCGCAGAAGAAGCACCGGCUAACUCCGUGCCAGCCGCCGCAGUAAUAC
RNAcentral lists this ribosomal RNA (511 nucleotides) under uncultured bacterium. Its description in RNAcentral is "bacterial SSU rRNA". It matches the Rfam family "Bacterial small subunit ribosomal RNA", at positions 30 to 526 of the family's 1533-position model. The record is from RNAcentral.